Molecule: long non-coding RNA, 520 nt
Organism: Galendromus occidentalis (western predatory mite)
Lineage: Eukaryota; Metazoa; Arthropoda; Arachnida; Mesostigmata; Phytoseiidae
Exons: 3
Source: RefSeq, a predicted model, not a curated record
ACCAAUGCCAUCGACACUCCGCAUAAGUUUUGCCGUUGUCGACGUCGUCGUUGCCUGUCGGCGGUGUCGUAGGAGAGAAGCCGCAUUGAGGCGAGGGUUGAUGACUCAACGCGUAAUACAAAGAGAUGGCGCGCCGGCCCCGCCGUCAGAGACACUCGUUCUUUCCGACGUUCAACUCGAAACCGAUCACCACCGACAACUAUGUCCUGCGAAGACACCUGCAAGUUCCAGAAGAUGGUCCAGAUGGGUAAUGAGAUCAUGAAGGAGAUCGCCAAGAGCGAAGGUCUCAGCGAGGCUUCUACCCUCAAGGCCGAAGAGUUCUUCAAGAAGGCCUACGAGACCAUGAAGGAGAAGGGAGAGUGCCCCGACGACAAGACCGACGAAGAGAAGAAGAAGUUCAUCGAAGACUCGAUCGCUGCCAUCCAGGCUGAGAUCGAGGAAGGCGAACGCGAGCUCCUCGCCAAGGUCAUCAACCUGUCCGUCGUAAGAAGCUAUCCAGAAGAAGAAGGCUGAACUCGCU